This 1257-nucleotide ribosomal RNA is filed under the name Lysinibacillus sp. mixed culture J14-10. RNAcentral's name for it is "bacterial SSU rRNA". It matches the Rfam family "Bacterial small subunit ribosomal RNA", at positions 46 to 1280 of the family's 1533-position model. Lineage: Bacteria; Bacillati; Bacillota; Bacilli; Caryophanales; Bacillaceae. The record is from RNAcentral.
GCCUAAUACAUGCAAGUCGAGCGAACAGAGAAGGAGCUUGCUCCUUUGACGUUAGCGGCGGACGGGUGAGUAACACGUGGGCAACCUACCUUAUAGUUUGGGAUAACUCCGGGAAACCGGGGCUAAUACCGAAUAAUCUGUUUCACCUCAUGGUGAAACACUAAAAGACGGUUUCGGCUGUCGCUAUAGGAUGGGCCCGCGGCGCAUUAGCUAGUUGGUGAGGUAACGGCUCACCAAGGCGACGAUGCGUAGCCGACCUGAGAGGGUGAUCGGCCACACUGGGACUGAGACACGGCCCAGACUCCUACGGGAGGCAGCAGUAGGGAAUCUUCCACAAUGGGCGAAAGCCUGAUGGAGCAACGCCGCGUGAGUGAAGAAGGAUUUCGGUUCGUAAAACUCUGUUGUAAGGGAAGAACAAGUACAGUAGUAACUGGCUGUACCUUGACGGUACCUUAUUAGAAAGCCACGGCUAACUACGUGCCAGCAGCCGCGGUAAUACGUAGGUGGCAAGCGUUGUCCGGAAUUAUUGGGCGUAAAGCGCGCGCAGGUGGUUUCUUAAGUCUGAUGUGAAAGCCCACGGCUCAACCGUGGAGGGUCAUUGGAAACUGGGAGACUUGAGUGCAGAAGAGGAUAGUGGAAUUCCCAAGUGUAGCGGUGAAAUGCGUAGAGAUUUGGAGGAACACCAGUGGCGAAGGCGACUAUCUGGUCUGUAACUGACACUGAGGCGCGAAAGCGUGCGGGAGCAAACAGGAUUAGAUACCCUGGUAGUCCACGCCGUAAACGAUGAGUGCUAAGUGUUAGGGGGUCUCCGCCCCUUAGUGCUGCAGCUAACGCAUUAAGCACUCCGCCUGGGGAGUACGGUCGCAAGACUGAAACUCAAAGGAAUUGACGGGGGCCCGCACAAGCGGUGGAGCAUGUGGUUUAAUUCGAAGCAACGCGAAGAACCUUACCAGGUCUUGACAUCCCGUUGACCACUGUAGAGAUAUAGUUUCCCCUUCGGGGGCAACGGUGACAGGUGGUGCAUGGUUGUCGUCAGCUCGUGUCGUGAGAUGUUGGGUUAAGUCCCGCAACGAGCGCAACCCUUGUCCUUAGUUACCAGCGGUUUGGCCGGGAACUCUAAGGAUACUGCCAGUGACAAACCGGAGGAAGGUGGGGAUGACGUCAAGUCCUCAUGGCCCUUAUGGGUAGGGCUUCACACGUCAUACAAUGGUCGGGACAGAGGGUCGCCAACCCGCGAGGGGGAGCCAAUCCCAGAAA